RNAcentral lists this ribosomal RNA (348 nucleotides) under uncultured Escherichia sp. Its description in RNAcentral is "bacterial SSU rRNA". It matches the Rfam family "Bacterial small subunit ribosomal RNA", at positions 10 to 354 of the family's 1533-position model. Lineage: Bacteria; Pseudomonadati; Pseudomonadota; Gammaproteobacteria; Enterobacterales; Enterobacteriaceae. The record is from RNAcentral.
AGUCUGAUCCUGGCUCAGAUUGAACGCUGGCGGCAGGCCUAACACAUGCAAGUCGAACGGUAACAGGAAACAGCUUGCUGUUUCGCUGACGAGUGGCGGACGGGUGAGUAAUGUCUGGGAAACUGCCUGAUGGAGGGGGAUAACUACUGGAAACGGUAGCUAAUACCGCAUAACGUCGCAAGACCAAAGAGGGGGACCCUCGGGCCUCUUGCCAUCGGAUGUGCCCAGAUGGGAUUAGCUUGUUGGUGGGGUAACGGCUCACCAAGGCGACGAUCCCUAGCUGGUCUGAGAGGAUGACCAGCCACACUGGAACUGAGACACGGUCCAGACUCCUACGGGAGGCAGCAG